RNAcentral lists this transfer RNA (73 nucleotides) under Camelus bactrianus (Bactrian camel). It matches the Rfam family "tRNA". From Rfam's summary of the family: Transfer RNA (tRNA) molecules are approximately 80 nucleotides in length. RNAcentral also lists the same sequence under 1 other name. Lineage: Eukaryota; Metazoa; Chordata; Mammalia; Artiodactyla; Camelidae. The record is from Rfam by way of RNAcentral.
GUGGGUAUAGCCCAAGCAGUAGAGCACAUGCUUAGCAUGCAUGAGGUCCUGGGUUCAAUCCCCAGUAUCGCCU